GUGGGGAAUUUUGGACAAUGGGCGCAAGCCUGAUCCAGCAAUGCCGCGUGCAGGAAGAAGGCCUUCGGGUUGUAAACUGCUUUUGUACGGAACGAAACGGUCCUGGUUAAUACCCGGGGCUAAUGACGGUACCGUAAGAAUAAGCACCGGCUAACUACGUGCCAGCAGCCGCGGUAAUACGUAGGGUGCGAGCGUUAAUCGGAAUUACUGGGCGUAAAGCGUGCGCAGGCGGUGCUGUAAGACAGGCGUGAAAUCCCCGGGCUCAACCUGGGAAUUGCGCUUGUGACUGCAGCGCUGGAGUGCGGCAGAGGGGGAUGGAAUUCCGCGUGUAGCAGUGAAAUGCGUAGAUAUGCGGAGGAACACCGAUGGCGAAGGCAAUCCCCUGGGCCUGCACUGACGCUCAUGCACGAAAGCGUGGGGAGCAAACAGGAUUAGAAACCCUGGUAGUCC
RNAcentral lists this ribosomal RNA (450 nucleotides) under uncultured bacterium. RNAcentral describes it as "partial 16S ribosomal RNA". It matches the Rfam family "Bacterial small subunit ribosomal RNA", at positions 354 to 796 of the family's 1533-position model. The record is from RNAcentral.